Selaginella moellendorffii is the source of this 73-nucleotide transfer RNA. It matches the Rfam family "tRNA". Rfam says of the family: Transfer RNA (tRNA) molecules are approximately 80 nucleotides in length. Lineage: Eukaryota; Viridiplantae; Streptophyta; Lycopodiopsida; Selaginellales; Selaginellaceae. The record is from Rfam.
GGGGAUGUAGCUCAAUUGGAAGAGUAUCUACGUUGCAAGUAGGGGGUAGGAGGAUCGAUACCUCCCAUCUCCA